Photinus pyralis (common eastern firefly) is the source of this 760-nucleotide long non-coding RNA. RefSeq lists it as uncharacterized. The record is from RefSeq and is a predicted model, not a curated record. Lineage: Eukaryota; Metazoa; Arthropoda; Insecta; Coleoptera; Lampyridae. The transcript has 2 exons.
UAGUGAAGCCCCUCCUCAACAAUUACCGCCACAUUUGAAUACGACAUUGUUAUUGGUGUAAUUUUUGAAGCCACAAUCACACUUGUAAAGCGAAUUGGCCGAAUUGGGUAAUCUGUCAUCUGUCAUCUUGCCUAUUGCGUUUCUGCCGGUUUUUACGUUUUUACAUCUUUACUUGCGUCAAUUUGCCAUUAAUCUCCUUUAUUCACACAAAAUAGUCUUUAUAAAAACUCGUCGGUGUAUUCUAAAGAUAGUCAGGUGAGUAAUUAUAAAAUUUUAUACACGAUUUUUACAUGCCUGUUUUUAGGGUUAUAUUAUUCGCGAUCAAGAAAAGUUGUACGCAAACAUGAAUGUCGCCGGUGCUGCUUUCUCUCCACCGAAAAAACGUUCUGCCAAGCACUUUUCAGUUGAAGACAAAACUGGCAUUUUAAAUAUCUUCAAGGCAUAUUCGGAAGACAACCCGGAGGUAUCUAAAACGGAUAAAGUUGAGUUUACGGCUAAAGCAGCAGGUGUAAGCAUUCCGAGUGUCUACAAGAUUCUUCGGGAGUAUACAGAGGUACACGAACUUCAUUCACCUAACAAAUAUUAUCGACCACGAGCAAUUUUGGACAAUAUUGAUUCCGGAACUAAAAGUAUUCUUCGGCGUUUGCUUCAUUCUUUCUUUGAAAGAAAUGAACCACCUACCCUGAGUAAAGUUUUGGCAGUGUUACACGAAGACGAAGACUUACCCCAUUUGAAACGAACUACUUUAUGGAAAUUAAUA